UACGGAAGGCAGCAGUGGGGAAUAUUGCACAAUGGGCGCAAGCCUGAUGCAGCCAUGCCGCGUGUAUGAAGAAGGCCUUCGGGUUGUAAAGUACUUUCAGUCGUGAGGAAGGUGUUAAGGUUAAUAACCUUAGCAAUUGACGUUAGCGACAGAAGAAGCACCGGCUAACUCCGUGCCAGCAGCCGCGGUAAUACGGAGGGUGCGAGCGUUAAUCGGAAUUACUGGGCGUAAAGGGCACGCAGGCGGUUAAUUAAGUUGGAUGUGAAAUCCCCGGGCUUAACCUGGGAAUGGCAUUCAAGACUGGUUAGCUAGAGUCUUGUAGAGGGGGUAGAAUUCCAUGUGUAGCGGUGAAAUGCGUAGAGAUGUGGAGGAAUACCGGUGGCGAAGGCGGCCCCUGGCAAAGGACUGACGCUCAUGUGCGAAAGCGUGGGGAGGCAAACAGGGAUUAGAUACC
RNAcentral lists this ribosomal RNA (454 nucleotides) under uncultured bacterium. Its description in RNAcentral is "bacterial SSU rRNA". It matches the Rfam family "Bacterial small subunit ribosomal RNA", at positions 340 to 786 of the family's 1533-position model. The record is from RNAcentral.